RNAcentral lists this ribosomal RNA (450 nucleotides) under uncultured bacterium. Its description in RNAcentral is "bacterial SSU rRNA". It matches the Rfam family "Bacterial small subunit ribosomal RNA", at positions 354 to 796 of the family's 1533-position model. The record is from RNAcentral.
GUGGGGAAUUUUGGACAAUGGGCGAAAGCCUGAUCCAGCCAUGCCGCGUGUGUGAAGAAGGUCUUCGGAUUGUAAAGCACUUUAAGUUGGGAGGAAGGGCAGUAAGUUAAUACCUUGCUGUUUUGACGUUACCGACAGAAUAAGCACCGGCUAACUUCGUGCCAGCAGCCGCGGUAAUACGAAGGGUGCAAGCGUUAAUCGGAAUUACUGGGCGUAAAGCGCGCGUAGGGGGUUUUGUAAGUUGGAGGUGAAAUCCCCGGGCUCAACCUGGGAGCUGCCUCCAAAACUGAAUGACUAGAGUACGGGAGAGGGUAGUGGAAUUUCCUGUGUAGCGGUGAAAUGCGUAGAUAUAGGAAGGAACACCAGUGGCGAAGGCGACUACCUGGACUGAUACUGACACUGAGGUGCGAAAGCGUGGGGAGCAAACAGGAUUAGAAACCCCGGUAGUCC